RNAcentral lists this ribosomal RNA (497 nucleotides) under uncultured bacterium. RNAcentral's name for it is "partial 16S ribosomal RNA". It matches the Rfam family "Bacterial small subunit ribosomal RNA", at positions 28 to 507 of the family's 1533-position model. The record is from RNAcentral.
GAUGAACGCUGGCGGCGUGCCUAAUACAUGCAAGUCGAGCGAACGGACGAGAAGCUUGCUCCUAUGAUGUUAGCGGCGGACGGGUGAGUAACACGUGGAUAACCUACCUAUAAGACUGGGAUAACAUCGGGAAACCGGAGCUAAUACCGGAUGAUAUUUUGAACCGCAUGGUUCAAAAGUGAAAGACGCUCUUGCUGUCACUUAUAGAUGGACCCGCGCUGCAUUAGCUAGUUGGUAAGGUAACGGCUUACCAAGGCAACGAUGCAUAGCCGACCUGAGAGGGUGAUCGCACACACUGGAACUGAGACACGGUCCAGACUCCUACGGGAGGCAGCGGUAGGGAAUCUUCCGCAAUGGGCGAAAGCCUGACGGAGCAACGCCGCGUGAGUGAUGAAGGUCUUCGGAUCGUAAAACUCUGUUAUUAGGAAAGAACAUAUGUGUAAGUAACUGUGCACAUCUUGACGGUACCUAAUCAGAAAGCCACGGCUAACUACGUG